AAUGAACGCUGGCGGCAGGCCUAACACAUGCAAGUCGAACGGGUCCUUCGGGACUAGUGGCGGACGGGUGAGUAACGCGUGGGAACAUACCCAAAGGUACGGAAUAGCCUCGGGAAACUGAGAGUAAUACCGUAUGUGCCCUUCGGGGGAAAGAUUUAUCGCCUUUGGAUUGGCCCGCGUUGGAUUAGGUAGUUGGUGGGGUAAUGGCCUACCAAGCCGACGAUCCAUAGCUGGUUUGAGAGGAUGAUCAGCCACACUGGGACUGAGACACGGCCCAGACUCCUACGGGAGGCAGCAGGUGGGGAAUCUUAGACAAGUGGGGGAAACCCUGAUCUAGCCAUGCCGCGUGAUCGAUGAAGGCCUUAGGGUUGUAAAGAUCUUUCAGAUGGGAAGAUAAUGACGGUACCAUCAGAAGAAGCCCCGGCUAACUCCGUG
Molecule: ribosomal RNA, 435 nt
Filed under: uncultured bacterium
Lineage: Bacteria
Description: bacterial SSU rRNA
Rfam family: Bacterial small subunit ribosomal RNA
Source: RNAcentral